This 227-nucleotide ribosomal RNA is filed under the name uncultured Syntrophaceae bacterium. RNAcentral describes it as "partial 16S ribosomal RNA". It matches the Rfam family "Bacterial small subunit ribosomal RNA", at positions 1155 to 1382 of the family's 1533-position model. Lineage: Bacteria; Pseudomonadati; Thermodesulfobacteriota; Syntrophia; Syntrophales; Syntrophaceae. The record is from RNAcentral.
GUUAAAGCCGGAGGAAGGUGGGGAUGACGUCAAGUCCUCAUGGCCUUUAUGCCCAGGGCUACACACGUGCUACAAUGGGCGGUACAAAGAGAAGCAACCUCGCGAGGGUGAGCAAAUCUCAAAAAGCCGUUCUCAGUUCGGAUUGAAGUCUGCAACUCGACUUCAUGAAGUCGGAAUCGCUAGUAAUCGCGGAUCAGCAUGCCGCGGUGAAUACGUUCCCGGGCCUU